Molecule: transfer RNA, 74 nt
Filed under: Thermoflexales bacterium
Lineage: Bacteria; Bacillati; Chloroflexota; Thermoflexia; Thermoflexales
Also listed under: 1 other name
Description: tRNA-Pro
Rfam family: tRNA
About the family: Transfer RNA (tRNA) molecules are approximately 80 nucleotides in length. Their secondary structure includes four short double-helical elements and three loops (D, anti-codon, and T loops).
Source: RNAcentral
CGGGGUGUGGCGCAGCCUGGUAGCGCACUUGCAUGGGGUGCAAGGGGUCCCCGGUUCAAAUCCGGGCACCCCGA